Molecule: ribosomal RNA, 233 nt
Filed under: uncultured fungus
Lineage: Eukaryota; Fungi
Description: partial small subunit ribosomal RNA
Rfam family: Eukaryotic small subunit ribosomal RNA (bases 111-233)
Source: RNAcentral
GGUAUGAUUUAUCUGUCCCGCAACGGUUAACGUUUGUGUGUGACGGUUUUAAAUCUGCCAUCCUUCUAGUGAAUAUAAUAUUAGCCUUUACUGGUUUGAUAUUAUACUUAAGCUAGAUCUUUUACUUUGAAAAAAUUAGAGUGUUUCAAGCAGGCGUUUUGCUAUGAAUACAUUAGCAUGGAAUAAUAUGAUAGGACUUCGGUUCUAUUUUGUUGGUUUCUAGAGCUGAAGUA